Molecule: ribosomal RNA, 373 nt
Filed under: uncultured bacterium
Lineage: Bacteria
Description: bacterial SSU rRNA
Rfam family: Bacterial small subunit ribosomal RNA
Source: RNAcentral
ACGUAGGUGGCAAGCGUUGUCCGGAUUUAUUGGGCGUAAAGCGAGCGCAGGCGGUUUCUUAAGUCUGAUGUGAAAGCCCCCGGCUCAACCGGGGAGGGUCAUUGGAAACUGGGAGACUUGAGUGCAGAAGAGGAGAGUGGAAUUCCAUGUGUAGCGGUGAAAUGCGUAGAUAUAUGGAGGAACACCGGUGGCGAAAGCGGCUCUCUGGUCUGUAACUGACGCUGAGGCUCGAAAGCGUGGGGAGCAAACAGGAUUAGAUACCCUGGUAGUCCACGCCGUAAACGAUGAGUGCUAGGUGUUAGGCCCUUUCCGGGGCUUAGUGCCGCAGCUAACGCAUUAAGCACUCCGCCUGGGGAGUACGACCGCAAGGUUG